This 991-nucleotide ribosomal RNA is filed under the name Pseudomonadota bacterium. RNAcentral's name for it is "bacterial SSU rRNA". It matches the Rfam family "Bacterial small subunit ribosomal RNA", at positions 1 to 988 of the family's 1533-position model. The record is from RNAcentral. Lineage: Bacteria; Pseudomonadati; Pseudomonadota.
AAACUGAAGAGUUUGAUCCUGGCUCAGAUUGAACGCUGGCGGCAUGCCUUACACAUGCAAGUCGAACGGCAGCACGGGGGCAACCCUGGUGGCGAGUGGCGAACGGGUGAGUAAUAUAUCGGAACGUGCCCUGGAGUGGGGGAUAGCUCGGCGAAAGCCGGAUUAAUACCGCAUAAGACCUGAGGGUGAAAGCGGGGGAUCGCAAGACCUCGUGCUACUGGAGCGGCCGAUGUCAGAUUAGCUUGUUGGUAGGGUAAAAGCCUACCAAGGCAUCGAUCAGUAGCUGGUCUGAGAGGACGACCAGCCACACUGGAACUGAGACACGGUCCAGACUCCUACGGGAGGCAGCAGUGGGGAAUUUUGGACAAUGGGCGAAAGCCUGAUCCAGCAAUGCCGCGUGAGUGAAGAAGGCCUUCGGGUUGUAAAGCUCUUUUGUCAGGGAAGAAACGGUGAGGGCUAAUAUCCCUUGCUAAUGACGGUACCUGAAGAAUAAGCACCGGCUAACUACGUGCCAGCAGCCGCGGUAAUACGUAGGGUGCAAGCGUUAAUCGGAAUUACUGGGCGUAAAGCGUGCGCAGGCGGUUUUGUAAGUCUGUCGUGAAAUCCCCGGGCUCAACCUGGGAAUUGCGAUGGAGACUGCAAGGCUAGAAUCUGGCAGAGGGGGGUAGAAUUCCACGUGUAGCAGUGAAAUGCGUAGAGAUGUGGAGGAACACCGAUGGCGAAGGCAGCCCCCUGGGUCAAGAUUGACGCUCAUGCACGAAAGCGUGGGGAGCAAACAGGAUUAGAUACCCUGGUAGUCCACGCCCUAAACGAUGUCUACUAGUUGUCGGGUCUUAAUUGACUUGGUAACGCAGCUAACGCGUGAAGUAGACCGCCUGGGGAGUACGGUCGCAAGAUUAAAACUCAAAGGAAUUGACGGGGACCCGCACAAGCGGUGGAUGAUGUGGAUUAAUUCGAUGCAACGCGAAAAACCUUACCUACCCUUGACAUG